UGGUAGGAGGUGCUGGCUUGAGUUCCCUGGAGAUUGCAGAAGUGUUGCCUUUUUUUGGGAAUAACAGCAGUGCAGGCUUCCCACACUGCCCUGACAGUGUGCCUCUAUCCUGACACGAGGGAUUAAUUUUAAAGACUAAAGGGUAUUUUGGUCUCCUUGACCUUGCUAACAAAGGUGCUGAU
Molecule: unclassified non-coding RNA, 182 nt
Organism: Chrysemys picta bellii (western painted turtle)
Lineage: Eukaryota; Metazoa; Chordata; Testudines; Emydidae
Source: Ensembl